Molecule: transfer RNA, 73 nt
Filed under: Triticum aestivum (bread wheat)
Lineage: Eukaryota; Viridiplantae; Streptophyta; Magnoliopsida; Poales; Poaceae
Description: tRNA-Tyr (GTA) (tRNA-Tyr-GTA-3-1)
Rfam family: tRNA
About the family: Transfer RNA (tRNA) molecules are approximately 80 nucleotides in length. Their secondary structure includes four short double-helical elements and three loops (D, anti-codon, and T loops).
Source: RNAcentral
CCGACCUUAGCUCAGUUGGUAGAGCGGAGGACUGUAGAUCCUUAGGUCGCCGGUUCGAAUCCGGCAGGUCGGA